RNAcentral lists this non-coding RNA (29 nucleotides) under Rattus norvegicus (Norway rat). Lineage: Eukaryota; Metazoa; Chordata; Mammalia; Rodentia; Muridae. The record is from RNAcentral.
AUGAAGAUUUAUUAAUGAAAGUCCUCUGC